Molecule: ribosomal RNA, 490 nt
Filed under: uncultured bacterium
Lineage: Bacteria
Description: partial 16S ribosomal RNA
Rfam family: Bacterial small subunit ribosomal RNA
Source: RNAcentral
AUUGAACGCUGGCGGCAGGCCUAACACAUGCAAGUCGAACGGUAACAGGAAGAAGCUUGCUUCUUUGCUGACGAGUGGCGGACGGGUGAGUAAUGUCUGGGAAACUGCCUGAUGGAGGGGGAUAACUACUGGAAACGGUAGCUAAUACCGCAUAACGUCGCAAGACCAAAGAGGGGGACCUUCGGGCCUCUUGCCAUCGGAUGUGCCCAGAUGGGAUUAGCUUGUUGGUGGGGUAACGGCUCACCAAGGCGACGAUCCCUAGCUGGUCUGAGAGGAUGACCAGCCACACUGGAACUGAGACACGGUCCAGACUCCUACGGGAGGCAGCAGUGGGGAAUAUUGCACAAUGGGCGCAAGCCUGAUGCAGCCAUGCCGCGUGUAUGAAGAAGGCCUUCGGGUUGUAAAGUACUUUCAGCGGGGAGGAAGGGAGUAAAGUUAAUACCUGUGCUCAUUGACGUUACCCGCAGAAGAAGCACCGGCUAACUCCGUG